This is an RNA transcript of Helianthus annuus (common sunflower), 797 nucleotides long. RefSeq lists it as uncharacterized. The record is from RefSeq and is a predicted model, not a curated record. The transcript has 3 exons. Lineage: Eukaryota; Viridiplantae; Streptophyta; Magnoliopsida; Asterales; Asteraceae.
UUUAGUUCUCUUUAAAAGGUUUCAUUUUGGUGUUGUCUUAUAUUUCAUUGAGUUUUUUGCCAUACAAAGGGAUCGGCUGGCUCAUGAGUCAAAACCAUGAGUUAAAGUGUUGUUUGCAAGCUAUGGAACAGAUGUCCAACUUUGAGAUGGUAGCGGUACAAGCAUGGCAAAGGUUUGGAAGGUCUAAUCAGUGUACAGUGCAACAUGGGAAAGAUAUAUGGGAUGGAUUAAGCAAAGUGGAGCUUCCUGUGGGCUGCAGUCCUCCCUUAAGAAUGUUUGGUCUUUUUAUUCACAGAGGGUAUUUGUUUCAACUCAUGCCCUUUUUGUUGGUGUCUUUGUAUUAUACUUUUAUAUGUAUCUUUACUUUUGUUACCAUAGGAAGUUGGCUUGUUUUAAUAUAUUGCUUGCUAUUAAAAAAUGAUGUUGUGUUGGGAACUAACAUCUGCAAGACUGCAAUUGAUCAUGACAUUUUAACUUGACAGUGACAAAUUUGCGUUUCCUUGAAUCACCAGCUGUAGUUGGUUUAUUCAUAUUCAAACACUUCAUCAGAUUUGUACAUUGUUGGUGAUGCAAAAGCUGGUAAAAGCCCCACAAUUUUGGCAAAAGGGUCACUACCACAUGCCUGAGACCAGAUGGCUCUUUCUUUCUUCCUGAGGCACAAAUUUUCAGCACAGUAAGGAUUUAUGAGUCAUUGUAAUUAUAAGAAUGAUGUUUUUAUGUUGAAUGUUAUUAUGUCAAGGUAACUAAGGAUUAGGAUGGGAAAUUGUGUUAACCAAGAAUUUGAUUCGACCAGUUGC